UGGUGUUGUCACAUUCUGUUUUAUUUGACUCCACUAACAUUAAUCCACCAGCUAGCCCUGGUAUUAAAAAUAGUCCAUAUUUAUCUUUCAGAUUGUCACUUAACUUGGACAUCUCUACCUUGAUUUCACAGAAAGAGCUGCACAUACAGAAGACAGAGGCAAGGCUGGGGCAAGAAUCUUCUUACUUUCUGGUUAUUUCUUUGCAUAGGUAAAGUCCAGGGAUUUAAUGCAGAUAUUCUCUUCCAUCUCCUUUAGCUUAACUUAAUCCUCAUCUGAAAAAGUCCAGUGAGGUGGGUUUGCAAGAAAAAACUCUUUCUGUUCAUUCUUCUUCAGGGCCCCUACUCAUGCUGUAAUGUGGUAUGGCUGAGACUUCCCUUCCUUGCCCUGGGAAAGAAAGGAUGUUCUGUUUCGUGAAGUAUUAAGGGACCUGGAUAGGUCAGUGCUGCUCUAUUAAUAUAAAAUGAGAUUAUUCACCAGCUGUUGUUUCCUGGCUUUCAGCAGAGCCAUUGAAACGUUUGCAAAAUAGCAGAGGGUUCCAGAUGGGAGGAGCCAUUGUUCAAAGUCCAGACCACCCAGCGGGCAUGUCAGACUCGUAAGACAUUAUCUGCAAUGGACGAAACAAUG
RNAcentral lists this long non-coding RNA (624 nucleotides) under Homo sapiens (human). Its description in RNAcentral is "HSALNT0373346". Lineage: Eukaryota; Metazoa; Chordata; Mammalia; Primates; Hominidae. The record is from RNAcentral.